GGCUACAGAACGAACGCUGGCGGCGCGUCUUAAGCAUGCAAGUCGGACGGCAAGGGUUGUGCUUGCACAACUCCUAGAGUGGCGGACUGGUGAGUAACGCGUGGGUGGCCUGCCCUCGAGAUGGGGGAUAGCCAUUAGAAAUAGUGGAUAAUACCGAAUACGCUCAUGACCCUGUGGGGAUAUGAGGAAAACAGGCUACGGCCUGGCUCGAGGAUGGGCCCGCGUCCCAUUAGCUAGUUGGUGAGGUAACGGCCCACCAAGGCGACGAUGGGUAUCCGGCCUGAGAGGGUGUACGGACACAUUGGGACUGAGAUACGGCCCAAACUCCUACGGGAGGCAGCAGCUAAGAAUAUUCCGCAAUGGACGAAAGUCUGACGGAGCGACGCCGCGUGGAUGAAAGAAGGCCGGAAGGUUGUAAAAUCCUUUUGCUGAUGAAGAAUAAGUGUGGUAGGGAAUGACCGCAUGAUGACAUUAGUCGGUGAAUAAGCCCCGGCUAACUACGUGCCAGCCGCCGC
This 515-nucleotide ribosomal RNA is filed under the name uncultured bacterium. RNAcentral describes it as "bacterial SSU rRNA". It matches the Rfam family "Bacterial small subunit ribosomal RNA", at positions 26 to 518 of the family's 1533-position model. The record is from RNAcentral.